UGUUCUGGACCAUUAAACCACUAUCAUCUGUGUCAUGCAACCGGACUCCCAAUCGAGCUAAUCUAUGCACCUCUUUGGCCAACUCUCUCUUCUCCUUUUGCACAUGGGCUAAACUAUCCAUAGACAACCUACUCAAAGUAUCAGCUACCACAUUUGCCUUACCCAAAUGGUAGAGCACAUUCAUGUCAUAAUCCUUUAGCAACUCCAAC
This 209-nucleotide long non-coding RNA is filed under the name Capsicum annuum. RNAcentral's name for it is "long non-coding RNA (CANN_LNC011172)". The record is from RNAcentral. Lineage: Eukaryota; Viridiplantae; Streptophyta; Magnoliopsida; Solanales; Solanaceae.